GAUGAACGCUGGCGGCGUGCCUAAUACAUGCAAGUCGAGCGAACAGACGCGGAGCUUGCUCCUCUGACGUUAGCGGCGGACGGGUGUGUAACACGUGGAUACCCUACCUAUCAGACUGGGAUCAUUUCGGGAAACCGGCGCUAAUCCCGUAUAAUCUAUUGAACCGCAUGGUUCAAUAGUGAAAGUCGGUUUUGCUGUCACUUAUAGAUGGAUCGCGGCUGCAUUAGCUAGUUGGUAAGGUAACGGCUUACCAAGGCAACGAUGCGUAGCCGAGCUGAGAGGGGGGUCGGCCACACUGGAACGUAGACGCGGUCCAGACGCCUACGGGAGGCAGCAGUAGGGAAUCGUCCGCAAUGGGCGAAAGCUUGACAGAGCAACGCCGCGUGAGUGAUGAAGGUCUUCGGAUCGUAAAACUCUGUUAUUAGGGAAGAACAAAUUUGUAAGUAACUAUGCACGUCUUGACGGUACCUAAUCAGAAAGCCACGGCUAACUACGUG
This 497-nucleotide ribosomal RNA is filed under the name uncultured bacterium. RNAcentral's name for it is "partial 16S ribosomal RNA". It matches the Rfam family "Bacterial small subunit ribosomal RNA", at positions 28 to 507 of the family's 1533-position model. The record is from RNAcentral.